AAAGUCGUAACAAGGUCUCCGUUGGUGAACCAGCGGAGGGAUCAUUAUAGGGGCUUCUCCUCCUAAAACCGACCGCGAACAUACCUGAAUCAAAUGCUCCGGCAGGCCCGCCCCGGGGAGGGGCGGUUAGGGUUAAGCGCCUGCCGGAGCGCUCUGUACAGCUCGUUAUAGUUCUCUGAGUAGCCCCAAAAAAAAGAAUCACAACUCUCAACAAUGGAUCUCUUGGCUCCG
Molecule: unclassified non-coding RNA, 231 nt
Filed under: Ascomycota sp.
Lineage: Eukaryota; Fungi; Ascomycota
Description: partial contains small subunit ribosomal RNA, internal transcribed spacer 1, and 5.8S ribosomal RNA
Rfam family: Eukaryotic small subunit ribosomal RNA (bases 1-47)
Source: RNAcentral